CCUACGGGUGGCAGCAGUGAGGAAUAUUGGUCAAUGGGCUUACGCCUGAACCAGCCAAGUCGCGUGAGGGAAGACUGCCCUAUGGGUUGUAAACCUCUUUUGUCAGGGAGCAAUUGGCGCUACGUGUGGCGUUAUCGAGAGUACCUGAAGAAAAAGCAUCGGCUAAACCGGUCCCAGCAGCCGCGGUAAUACGGGGGAUGCGAGCGUUAGCGGGAUUUUUGGGGUUUAAAGGGUGCGUAGGCGGAUUGCCAAGUCAGCGGUAAAGUCGCGGGGCAAAACCUCGCACUGCCGUUGAAACUGGCGUUCUUGAGUGGGCGUGAAGUAUGCGGAAUGCGUGGUGUAGCGGUGAAAUGCAUAGAUAUCACGCAGAACUCCGAUUGCGAAGGCAGCUUAC
RNAcentral lists this ribosomal RNA (394 nucleotides) under uncultured bacterium. Its description in RNAcentral is "partial 16S ribosomal RNA". It matches the Rfam family "Bacterial small subunit ribosomal RNA", at positions 338 to 729 of the family's 1533-position model. The record is from RNAcentral.